RNAcentral lists this small RNA (619 nucleotides) under Pan troglodytes (chimpanzee). RNAcentral describes it as "processed transcript". Lineage: Eukaryota; Metazoa; Chordata; Mammalia; Primates; Hominidae. The record is from RNAcentral.
GGGCCUGUGGAAAUGGCAGUGGCCCAGCCGGGAUGAGAUCUGAUCUAGGGGUCGGGGCUGGCUUCGAGGGGGACGGACAGGGUCAAGAGCCCCCAACUCCCAUCGCGCCCCCACAGCUGCUGCGUGCUGGCCCCACCUACCUCAUCAUCCAGCUAAACACCAACUCCAUCAUUGGCGACGGGCCGAUCGUGCGCAAGGAGAUUGAGUACCGCAUGGCGCGCGGGCCCUGGGCUGAGGUGCACGCCGUCAGCCUGCAGACCUACAAGCUGUGGCACCUCGACCCCGACACAGAGUAUGAGAUCAGCGUGCUGCUCACGCGUCCCGGAGACGGCGGCACUGGCCGCCCUGGGCCACCCCUCAUCAGCCGCACCAAAUGCGCAGAGCCCAUGAGGGCCCCCAAAGGCCUGGCUUUUGCUGAGAUCCAGGCCCGCCAGCUGACCCUGCAGUGGGAACCACUGGGCUACAACGUGACGCGUUGCCACACCUAUACUGUGUCGCUGUGCUAUCACUACACCCUGGGCAGCAGCCACAAUCAGACCAUCCGAGAGUGUGUGAAGACAGAGCAAGGUGUCAGCCGCUACACCAUCAAGAACCUGCUGCCCUAUCGGAACGUUCACGU